CUGACUGCUAGCAUGAGGCUGCAAGAACUGGGACAGACAGAACAAGCUAGAAAAGAUCUAGUGCGUCUAAUUUUGGUACGGAAACAAUGAGUCGAGGCUGCAAAGAAACGAGAAGAAGAAAAAGCCGCAAAAGAACAAAAGAAAGCCGGAACUCGGAAGUGAGUGUUCUGGUCUUAUGCUACAAGCUAAGAAGGAUACAUGCUUUACAAGUAUCUGAAAUUUUUUUUUUUAGUCAGUUCAUACAAUGAUAUUACACCUACCAAUCAGACAUGGGUAUAAUUCUUGGGGAUUUAUUUAUACUUUUAUAGCCUUUUUUUGAGGUUAUUAUUCUUUUGUUUGUUUAGCUCAGAUAAAAGCCAUUUAAU
Dioscorea cayenensis subsp. rotundata (Guinea yam) is the source of this 365-nucleotide long non-coding RNA. RefSeq lists it as uncharacterized. NCBI's taxonomy places the organism in Eukaryota, Viridiplantae, Streptophyta, Magnoliopsida, Dioscoreales, Dioscoreaceae. The record is from RefSeq and is a predicted model, not a curated record. The transcript has 3 exons.